GCAAUCGACCAUCGGAUCAGGAAAGCAGGGCUUCCCGUCCGCUCAGCCGUACUUAAGCCUGUUCCCGGCCGGUCAGUACUACCGUGGGUGACCAGGUGGGAAUCCCGGCUGUUGAUUGUU
This is a ribosomal RNA of Fonsecaea pedrosoi CBS 271.37, 120 nucleotides long. NCBI's taxonomy places the organism in Eukaryota, Fungi, Ascomycota, Eurotiomycetes, Chaetothyriales, Herpotrichiellaceae. The record is from Rfam.